This 6234-nucleotide long non-coding RNA is filed under the name Eucalyptus grandis. RNAcentral describes it as "long non-coding RNA (EGRA_LNC006556)". The record is from RNAcentral. Lineage: Eukaryota; Viridiplantae; Streptophyta; Magnoliopsida; Myrtales; Myrtaceae.
GUCGAUCCGUUUAAGCUCCAAUCCAUAACUUCCCUCCAGUUUGUAGGAAGUUCAAUUUGUGAUGAAUCAGAUGUUUGUCUUUCCUCAGAACAUAAAUUCAUUUAUAUAGUGUGUAUCCCUAGACAUGAAAAUCUCUUUUUGCUAUCAAGCAGAGGGACAGUGCCCAAAGCCUUGUUACAUAGCAACCGUAAACUACUGUGUAAGAAAGUAUAACACUCACUUUAACACUGUAAAGUACUACUACAUGCCAUGACCAAAUUUAACAACACUAGUGCAUUUGGAUGCCGGUUAGAACUGUCUGAAGGUCUGCCAUUUGCUCAGCUUAAGCUUCGCCGGCUUUUGCCCAGCAGAGCCAUCAGCAUUAGCUUCUAACUCAGCAGAUCCUCCACGGUCUUCAUUCUUUUUAUGGUCCCGCUCCGACACUGCCUCGACCUUCUGCCGAGGAAGAUCAUUCUGGUACUGGCCGAGCAGAGCCCCGUUUUGGACUUCGUUGGAGGCCGGUUCAUUCUUGAAGGCUCUGUACACGUUCGGGUAUUGAGGGAUAUCGGGAUUGACGCUAAGCGUCUUUGAAAUUCUCGAGAUGUGUUCGAGGUAAUCAUCGGACGUGGUGUUCCAGCCAGGGAUGGAACUGGGAGUAUUUCCUAAGCUUCGACGCAUGUUUUCGCCUUUGCAGUGGUAUAGCGAAGGAACUUCCAUUUAUACGUGAAGGCGUGAGAUGCUUGUGCUAUAUUCUUGAAGUGACAUUGACGGCAUCUGAUUCCCUUUUCUAUAUUUGAAACAAGGAACAAGAACAUGUGCGGAACGUACCCAGAUAUAGGGCGGCGUCCAAGGCUCCUUGGAGAUUUAUUCCUUGACCGAUACGUCAUAAACUUGACACUUAAUCGUGUCAUAAUGCCCAGAUAUUUUUUUUUCCCUUUUUUGUCUCUAGAAGAUGCAUCACUUGGUUUUAAUAUCCUUUUAAAAGUACCAGAAAUAUAUUUGAGAGAUGAUAGGCGAUUCUGCGUAUUUCCUUAUUAUCCUAUAAAGCUUAUAGAUAGACCCGUGUAUUUUCAUUUGAUAAUGAACAGAAUAUUAUAUUUUUCUAUCAUUACAAUCUUCAACUCCAAUGUCGUAUGCGAUAGAUUUUAUCUAUAGCAACAAAAAGUAAAGAUAAACAAUACGGAUAAUCGAAGACAAUUUUGACCAAUAGUAAAUAUUCCCCUUGCUCAAAACCCACAAGAGAUUCAAUCUAAUCCACUAGUCAAAAGUCGUAUAAAGCUUGACCACUUGAUAUGUAGGAGCUCUGAAAGAGUACGUGAUGGACCCUUCAGCACCGCUGUGCCCUUGCUCGACGAGGUGACCGAUCCCGCGGAAAGCCACGGUCUCCAAGUCCAAAGCGGGCGAACCGGAGGGUGGAUUCACCGCCCACCUCUCGUCCGCGUCGUAGCAGAAUGGCCUGCUAGUUGAUGGGAAAUCAUGGGCAAUAGUUCCUCCGGGCCCUUUGAAUCUGUUCUCCAUGCCACAGGUGAGAUGGUAAUUAGAAGCCGGCCACCUAGCGAUUCCCCACAAUUAUCAAUGAGGGCAUGAUUAGAAGAAAAAAAUAGAAUCAUUAAAUCCCACAAUAGCCUAUCGAAAAUGCUAGUGCUGGUAUUUCUCUAAACUUGUCCAUAAAAAAUUCAUGAAAUGAUUUAACUUUUUCUCUGGAAUCUCUCAAAAAAGUUGUUCCAAACGAAUUCUUAGUAACUUCGCGAAUGUGCUUUUUGCCUUAUUCAAGCAAGGGCAGGGAGGAUGUUAGGAGUUUUGCAUGUUGUCUUAGAAUGUUUCUCACCAUUGUAAAUCCGAUCAUUUAAAGGAUUAAUAAUGUCUUGAAAGACUAAUUACGAUCCCAUGCCAUCCAAAAAACAAGGGACUGAUUCCAGAGGCUGAAGCAACAUCAGCCCGAGCAUUUAGCUUCUCCUAAUGUUUUCAACUUACUAUGUUCUUGAUUUCUAAAUUAGAAAUAAUAAUUAUAAAUAAAAAAAAAGACAAUCCUUAUACAUGUACGCCACGUUUCUGAAAAUUGCAAAAUAAUUCCUAUUUGUAAGAAUAAUUAUGACGAGUUAAUGUUUCGGUGUCUUGACUACACUGACACUUUAGAUUUGGUACUAUGCGAUUGGCCAUUUGGGGUUUCCCUCAAAGAAUUUGUAGUGGGACACCGCAUGGAAGGAGCCGAGGCCAGGGAGGUUCUGGCCUUUCUUGUUGGGCUCCAUCCAAGUGGUCCCAUUGACGAUAUCCGACACGCCACACCGCAGCAUCAUCAUUUUCAAAACCGUCUCAGGAUCCAAGGUUCUAGUAGCAUUUAGAUGAUGAUUGAGCUGAUAUACCUUGAUGGCAUCCUCUAGCAAAUCGUUGAAGUCGUCAUCACCGGUGUGGACUGAAUGUUCAGAUUGGUUGUAGUUCAAGCAGUGUUUAGAUGAUGAUUGAGUUGAUACAUCUUGACUACAUGCUCUAGCAAAUCGUCAAAGCCGUCAUCGCCAGUGUGGAUCAAAUGGUCAGAUUGGUUGUUCAAGUAAUCGAAUUUCUCAAGUUAUUGCUUGAGCUCGCAAAUACCUAGGGCGUGGUCGCCCUCGUGACAUCCCUCGAUGUGCUUGAGGAAAUCAAAGGCUGAUUUGGUUUGGACAUGGGAAUGUGCUAAAACGACAUGGAUGGUGAGAAGGAGGAGGAGCAAGUGGGAGAAGGUGGAAUGGGGUUUGUUAGGUCAUGUUUAGUGACGUUUCCAUUCCCCUAUUUUUCUAUUUUUUGUUUUAUUUUUUGAAACAAUAAAAAAAUAGAAAUUCAUUUGGAAAAGUCGACUAAUUUUUCUAUUUCCUGAAAUAGAUUAGUGGUCAAUGAAUAGAUUUAGAACAUGGAACCCUCAAUUUUUAUAUUCUGUCCCCAUAAAAGCGACAUACCCACCACUUUCCCCACUACUUUCCCUCUGAGCCAAGCCCUCAAUUUGCCCUCCACACCCUAACUCAUUUUUUCUAUUCUAUUUAUAGGUUUUUUCCAGUUGUGGAAGCAUAAGAAAGUUCUUGGCAUCGUGUCGCUCGCGGCCAUAACAGGGUCGUGAGGAGAGAGAGAGAACGAGUCAACUUUGUGAAAUGUUCAAGGUUAUUCACCACUUUUCAGGUCUUCGCAAAAUGACAAUCUAGAAAACGUGGUUACCGAUCUUCUGGAUGGUCUGGAUGCUAAUGAGAAGCUUCUGAGGGGUCGAGCAGACCCCUGCCUAACAAAAGACCUUCACAGUCUUCUCCUCUAUAGCUAUUAUCUAUUUAAUGCUUUCAUUAUAUUCCUAGCAAUGUUUAUAGUAUUGUCAUAUUGUUAUUUAGAAAAAUGGGCACCAGCAGCAAAUUCCAUGAACCAACAUAAACGCGUCGUUUAGAUUAUACAUUCGCUGGCUUUGAUUAUUCUAUUCACAGUGGACAGAAUAGAAUUGCUUUUGUUUUUCACCCGUUUGCUUUUUGUAAAAUUGUGCUGAAAGAUAUACAGUCAAAGCAAGCCGGUCUUGGUGACUUUGACUUUGACUUUGCCUUUGCUUCUCGGAGAAGUUAAUGUUGGCUUACUGGAGAUUGAGCAUGCUAAGAAGCUUCUUAGGAGCCCGUGAACGUUCGAAGUGAUUCUUGGCUCGCAAUCUAGUUCCAUUUACUUAAUAAUUAACCUUGAUUUUAAGAAAAACAUUAGAAAAUGGGGAUGAUAAUCGUGAGAAUACUAAUUAACGAUCCUGUUCAAUUCCCCUUGUACAAUUCCUCCCUCGCAACUGCUAACGCAGAAAAAUUCGGCUCCUUUCAUGUAUGAACGUGUUAGAUGUUGGAAUUUUGUUUGUUAAAACAAAAUGAGUGUUUUUUACUUUGUCCCACAUAGAAAAGGUGGGAGCAUGAGGGCCAGUUUAAAAAUGUGGGAUUUCCCUUUUGUAAUUAAAGGAGUGAUUAGGUGGGGCUAGACCCCACCAUACCCGCUUGCGGGUGCGCGAUUAUUUGGCGCCCGCGGUUUAAUUAGCAUUAAUCCCUUGCUUUUUAUUUAUUUAUUUUUAUUUUAAUUUAUAUUUUUUGGUUCAAAGGUUGCCUUUUAAUUUGAGAAUUUCGAAAAUGAAAUAUAAAUGAAAAUUCGAAAUUCUAUUUAAAAAAAAAAUUAUUCCGAAUUUUAUUUGUGUCUUUUCAAGAUCACCUUUGGAAAAUUACUUAUUCGGUUUUAAUUUUUCCGAAGGAUUGUAAUUGUUCGUUUUUCGACUUCUUCCGAAGAGUCGCAUUUGUUUAUCCGAACAAUUUUCUAAAGACGUGUUUGUUCGCAAUUUUCACGAAGAGUUGCAAGACUGUUUCUUAUAUAUACUUGUCAUUUUUCGGAAAGAAAAUGGUGGUCAUUUUCGAGUCUUCUUUAUGAAAAACUGCAGCCAAUUUUUCGAUUGUUUUCCUAGAGAGACCCUGGAGAAAUACUAAAAUUGCUAUUUAGUAUUCUCAUCCGAGACUUUGUUGUAUCUUGGAAGAUUUUUGCCGGUGACCAUUAGCAACGUUGUGGGGCAAAUAAAUCCUUAAAGAAAGUGAUAUCACGCCUCAAAGUCCGAGUUGUUUUACUCGAUCCGAUUUCAUUGUACUACCCAAUUUCGAAGCAUAUUUUCCUAACAUUAGACACCAAAAAAUGCCGAGUCUUUGACCAUUGACUCGGACUAGAAGAGAAUGAACACAAUUCGACAGAAGAAAAAUUGCCUGAGUGUUGAAAGCUUUUAGUUGGCAAAUUUAGUUAAUCGACGAGAAAACUAGUUUUAACUGACAGAAAAUACGAUUUAAGAUAAUUAAGUUUAGGAGUAUACUGGCGACAAGUAAGGUUGACUCUAUGACAAAAGGCCACGAAUGAUGUAGCUGUUGACAGAGUGAUGAUGGAGUAACCAUUUAAGUGUUGGAGCCAACAAUUUUGGAUGUAACUUGUCAUGAAGAUAACCGCAAAAGGGGAAACUUAAUGCAACCAUCGAGUAGUGGAGUGAAGUAGCGGAGUCAAGAAGUUCGUGAGAAACUGAUUGUGACAAUUGUAGAGAAGUGGAGGAGACAUAACUAUCGAAGUAAUGGGGAUGACACAACCGUUGAUGUAGUGAAGACAUAGCCAUCAAAAUGAAGUGGAUUCCUUUUGUAAAUAGAGAUUGCUAAAUUGUAAGUCAUGUAGGGUGUGUUUUUUUUUUUUUUACACUGUUGUUAACUAUCAGUAGCAGACUAGUAGGUACAGACACUUGUACUGUAGGGGAGAAGAGAAUGUUGAUUAAUUUAAAAACACUAGCUGUUUAAUUUUAUCUUCCUGUUUAUAUUUGAAUUUCCAGCACCUUUACAUGAUUAGACAAGAUUGUCUUCAUUCUUAGUACUUUUAACUUUCACGUCGUUUGUGUUGCCUAUCCAAGAAUUAAGAAAGGACCUUUCAUGUGGCAUGGUUUAUAUCUUUUCGUCAUUCGGAAAGGAUGGACUCAUAAAAAUAUUUGUCCUUCUGCCAAUUGUAUCCUAUAAGUUACAGUUUGGUAAGAUCACUCGGUUCUUGUACUUAGUUGCCUCAUCCGGUGUCUCUACUUCAAUUCUUUUGUUUACUACAUUCGCCAUUCCGUUGUAGGUCGAUCCGCUUGAGCUCCAAUUCAUUACCUACCCCCCCCCCCCCCCCCAAAAGUUUGUAGGGAGUUUACUUGGUGAUGAAUAAGAUGUUCAUCUUUUCUCAUAAAUGUAAAAUCAUUUAUAAAGUCUUCCUAGACAUGAAAAUAUCCAUUACUAGUACUAACCAAAAUUUGCUAUAAAGUGGGGGGAUAGUACUCAAAGCCUUGUUACAGAGCAAGUAUAAUACUAUAAAGAAACCAUGACGCUCACUUUAACACUAUAAAGUACUACUACAUGCCAUGACCAAAUUCAUUAUUCUUGCAUGAACAUUAGCGCAUCUGGAUGCCGGUUAGAACCGUUCGUGGAUCUUCCAUUUGCUCGGGCGAAAUUUCUACUUCUUUUGCUUAACAAAGCCAUUGCCAUAAGCUUCAAACUCAGCCAAUCUUCCACGGGCUUUGUUCUUUUUAUAAUCACUUUCCGACACUAUUUCGACCUUCUGCUGAGGAAGAUCAUCCAGACAGUGGCCGAGCGGAGCCCUGUUUCAAGCUCCGUUGAUCGGACACUACUUCAACCUUCUGCCGAGGAAGAUUGUUCUGGUUCUGGCCAAGCAGAGCCCCCUUUCGGAUUCAUUAAAGGUCCGCCCAUUCAUAAAGGUAAUCAUCGGAGGUGGUGUUCC